This 1075-nucleotide long non-coding RNA is filed under the name Hordeum vulgare. RNAcentral describes it as "long non-coding RNA (HVUL_LNC017521)". The record is from RNAcentral. Lineage: Eukaryota; Viridiplantae; Streptophyta; Magnoliopsida; Poales; Poaceae.
UUAAAUAGCAGUUAAAUAUGGUGAUAUAACAAGGAACCCAUGUUAUCACAUGGAAGCAUCUGCACCUGCAACUAGCAACACUAACAACAAGGUUAAGCCAGCAGUAACAUAGCCAGACAGUGGUUUGCUAGGUCGAACAGGUUGAAGGUUAACAUGGCAUCCUUGAGAGCAGUGGCGGAGCGAGCGCCCAGCGACCCUGGGCAAUUGCCCAGGCUCGCUGCCACUCGUACGUUGUACACAACCCCACCACAACAGGUAAAGCUGCUCUCUACCGAGUGUAUUUACCCGGGCAAAACUUGUUUAGGCCUCCUUCACAGCCCAGCCCAUUUAUUUAAUCCCGAUUACUCUAGCCCACAAUAAUAAAAAAGAAUAGCAUCAAUCGCUCCAUUCCAGCCCACGAGGCGACAGGGAAUACCAUCGAUCGCUCUAGAGUCCGGAGUAGUUAUCUGCGUCUCCUUGUUUUCUCCAAGUACGCGUACAGGCGACAGGGACUUGAAGGCGCCGGGUCUUGAAGGCGAGGCGGCGAGGGCAUUAUAUGCGGCUGUCGGCUGGGUGAGCUGAGGGCCUGAGGCUAGCGGCAGCCGGCAGGCCGACGGGCGACGGCCGGAAGAUGCGUGGGCAGUCAGUCAUCUACUCCUCUCCCCAGUUCCUUCCUUCCCUGACUGCUUGUCUGCUUCCUUCCCUGCAGUUCCUUUCCUUCUUCUUUCAGUAAGAUUCCGUGUUAAAUUUUUUUGUUAGCUGUUGCAACUUGCAAACUACAGAAACUAUCAAACUAAUAUGCAGGAAGAAUAUACUUUUUUGUUAGCUUCAGAUUUCAAACUGGUUGCAAACUACAGAAACUAACUUCAGAUUUUUGUUACUCACUAAAUUUCAGAGAUGAGGAGGUUUUUGGUUAAGAGAGCAAGGACUGAAAAUAUGAACGAUGUGCAACCUGAAGUAGAACUGGAGCAAAGGACUGAAAAUGUGAAUGAUGCGCAGCCUGAAAUAGGAGUAGAGCAACCAGCGCGUAGCGUUGCCAAUGAAUUCAAUCCAAAUGCGAUUGAGCGCGAUCCGGGAAAGAGGAAACAAAUUUGUG